This 250-nucleotide ribosomal RNA is filed under the name uncultured bacterium. RNAcentral describes it as "partial 16S ribosomal RNA". It matches the Rfam family "Bacterial small subunit ribosomal RNA", at positions 524 to 773 of the family's 1533-position model. The record is from RNAcentral.
UACGGAGGGUGCAAGCGUUAUCCGGAUUCACUGGGUUUAAAGGGUGCGUAGGCGGACUUGUAAGUCCGGGGUGAAAUCUCUGAGCUUAACUCAGAAACUGCCUUGGAUACUAUAGGUCUUGAAUGUUGUGGAGGAUAGCGGAAUAUGUCAUGUAGCGGUGAAAUGCAUAGAUAUGACAUAGAACACCAAUUGCGAAGGCAGCUGUCUACACAGAUAUUGACGCUGAGGCACGAAAGCGUGGGGAUCAAAC